GGUUCCCAGAAAGGGGGAAGCCUGUGCUUUGGUGGCAGCCCGUGAGAGUGGCUUCUGCGAAAUGGAGCAGCCGUGGUCAGAUCUCACAGGCCAAGUCCUUCUACCACCCUCAGGCCUCUCAAGGGCAUGAGGCCUCAGCUGGGCUCAAGUGGGCACCAGGAGAAGCUAGGUAGACAGCAGCCUGACUUGGAAUGGCCUUUGGCCAGGAAUUAAUAAACGCAACUUGUAUGGGAGACAGCAUCUCCCUGAUGGAACUGUGAAUCAUGGAUCCAUCUCAGGGUCACCCUGCGGGUUCCUGUGAGCGGGGGUGAGGCCAGCCAUCCUCAGCCUAAGUGAGCAGCAAGGCAGCCCCAAGGGAGCUCCAUGAGGGUCAGGGCAGCCAUUCCCAGAGGUGCCCCCAUCAUGCUACAGAUGCCUUCUCUCCAGACAGCACAGACCUGAUGUCACCGGACCAGCAUGUCACCCCAGCAGCACAGGCCUGAUGUCACACUCCAUCAGCAUAUCAUCACCAAAUGCAAAGCCCUGAAGCCACUGCUUCACCAUGUCACCCCCAACAGCACAGGCCUGAAGUCACACCCCAUGUCACCCCCAACAGCACAGGCCUGAAGUCACACCCCAUGUCACCCCCAGCAGCACAGGCCCAAAGUCACUUCCCAUGUCACCCCCAACAGCAUAGUCCUAAAUCAUACCAUGGGUAAUUCUUCUCCUUUCCUUUAAUCCUAGUCCCAGAUAAAUUGCAAAAAGGGAGUCAAGCAAA
Macaca mulatta (Rhesus monkey) is the source of this 757-nucleotide non-coding RNA. The record is from RefSeq and is a predicted model, not a curated record. Lineage: Eukaryota; Metazoa; Chordata; Mammalia; Primates; Cercopithecidae.